RNAcentral lists this ribosomal RNA (388 nucleotides) under uncultured bacterium. RNAcentral describes it as "bacterial SSU rRNA". It matches the Rfam family "Bacterial small subunit ribosomal RNA", at positions 28 to 417 of the family's 1533-position model. The record is from RNAcentral.
GACGAACGCUGGCGGCGUGCUUAACACAUGCAAGUCGAGCGGUAAGGCCCUUUCGGGGGUACACGAGCGGCGAACGGGUGAGUAACACGUGGGUGACCUGCCCUCAGCUCUGGGAUAAGCCUGGGAAACCGGGUCUAAUACCGGAUAUGACUCCAUGACGCAUGUUGUGGGGUGGAAAGCCUUGUGCGGCUGAGGAUGGGCCCGCGGCCUAUCAGCUUGUUGGUGGGGUGANGGCCUACCAAGGCGACGACGGGUAGCCGGCCUGAGAGGGCGACCGGCCACGCUGGGACUGAGACACGGCCCAGACUCCUACGGGAGGCAGCAGCGGGGAAUCUUGCGCAAUGGGCGAAAGCCUGACGCAGCGACGCCGCGUGAGGGAUGACGGCCU